Molecule: long non-coding RNA, 1021 nt
Organism: Lates calcarifer (barramundi perch)
Lineage: Eukaryota; Metazoa; Chordata; Actinopteri; Centropomidae
Exons: 2
Source: RefSeq, a predicted model, not a curated record
UAAAUGUGGCUGUAAGAAGAUAAGAGUCCUGAAGGCAGGAGGUGCUUAGUUUCUCUCGCUGCAUUACGAGUGCAUUUCCACUGCGAAGGACAUCUGAGCGUAAAGUGAGCCUCUUUUCGUCAGGAGGUUUUGGCAAAAUCUGAUCAAGACUGGCCAAGAAAACAGAUGGAUGGAUGAACUAAUGAAGGAACAAAUAAAGAAAUGAAAGUUGAGUGAUGGUUUAGAGGAAGUUCCAUAUUGGAACUACAGUGGUUAACACUAGAAAAGCUAUGUAUGAUAGGAAACAUGAGCUGACAUGAAAUGAACAAUUAUCCACCCCAUAAAGCUGCCAUGUAAUAAUAGUGUAUGUUUUGUAAUAUGUCAGUACAGAGUAAAGAGGAACUCAGCUACAUUAGCUUUGUGCUGAGUUUCUUAAGGUGGCUUAAGUUAGCUACAGCUCAAAGAGACAACCAUGUUAAAUGAAUGCCAACUAUUUAGGUCUUUUACAUGCCCAUUAAUUUUUAUGGGAAUGGUUCUAAAUUUUGGAAGCUGUCCUCUUUCACUUUCUGGCAUAGAGUUAGAUGAGAAGAUUUAUACCACUCUCAGUUUCUGUCUGCUAAAUAUAGGGCUACAGCCAGCUGGUUAGCUUAGCUUAGCACAAAGACUGCAAACAGCCUGGCCUGACACUUUGUUUUCUGAACGGAUUAAACAAAGUGUUAAUCAGAGAUGAAGGUAGGUGGGUUUUGUUUAGGAGGCUACUUGUUUCCUAUUUUUGUGCUAAGCUAAGCUAACCAGCUACCUCCUGUCUAACUUCUAUCCAUCACCCUUUUUGUUUUUGUCUUGGUGGCUGCUCCAUACUUUGGAGAUAAAUGAAAGAUUAUUGAUCUAUUUCCCACAAACCCUUACUCCUUUGUAGAUUCAAAACUGUCAACAUGUGUAUCUUGCUGUUUUCAUUUUAAAUGUGGCCAAAAAUAUAAAAAACAACACUGGCUGUGUUUUCUGCGAAACCUUUGCCAAAAUAAAAUACCAAGUAUUCAUCACA